RNAcentral lists this ribosomal RNA (253 nucleotides) under uncultured bacterium. RNAcentral describes it as "partial 16S ribosomal RNA". It matches the Rfam family "Bacterial small subunit ribosomal RNA", at positions 524 to 776 of the family's 1533-position model. The record is from RNAcentral.
UACGAAGGGGGCUAGCGUUGUUCGGAUUUACUGGGCGUAAAGCGCACGUAGGCGGAUUGUUAAGUCGGGGGUGAAAUCCUGGAGCUCAACUCCAGAAUUGCCUUCGAUACUGGCUUUCUAGAGGCUGGAAGAGGUUAGUGGAAUUCCCAGUGUAGAGGUGAAAUUCGUAGAUAUUGGGAAGAACACCAGUCGCGAAGGCGGCUAACUGGUCCAGAUCUGACGCUGAGGUGCGAAAGCGUGGGGAGCAAACAGG